Molecule: unclassified non-coding RNA, 240 nt
Filed under: Hevea brasiliensis (rubber tree)
Lineage: Eukaryota; Viridiplantae; Streptophyta; Magnoliopsida; Malpighiales; Euphorbiaceae
Source: RNAcentral
GCCUAUCACAGUAAUAGAUGAAUCCUCAACUAAGCCACAAGGGAUCCUAAGACUGCUCCCGUCCUUCGACAUCGCGGGAUUGAAUGCAGUCACAGAAUAAGGACAAUCCUCAUUUUCCUUCUCAUCUUGAGCUUUGCUUUUCUCAAUGAACGACACUAAAUCUUUCCAUGAUAUGGCAGCCUCCUUAACUCCUUGAGCAGUUCCAUUCAAACCAUCUGAUCUAGACAACAACAAUCUCAU